CAAGCACCUAAACCCAAGCACUGCUGUUUGCCAUAGCAGCAGUUUAAACAGAGGUGCUGAUGGCAAGCGGAUCUCGUCGCCUUUGGGGGCUGUGACUGUGCCCCUUGAAGUGAAUUGGGAGGUUCUACACUC
Artibeus jamaicensis (Jamaican fruit-eating bat) is the source of this 132-nucleotide small nucleolar RNA. RefSeq annotates it as small nucleolar RNA SNORA68. The transcript has a single exon. NCBI's taxonomy places the organism in Eukaryota, Metazoa, Chordata, Mammalia, Chiroptera, Phyllostomidae. The record is from RefSeq and is a predicted model, not a curated record.